This 445-nucleotide ribosomal RNA is filed under the name Streptomyces sp. XM-11-3. Its description in RNAcentral is "bacterial SSU rRNA". It matches the Rfam family "Bacterial small subunit ribosomal RNA", at positions 57 to 517 of the family's 1533-position model. The record is from RNAcentral. Lineage: Bacteria; Bacillati; Actinomycetota; Actinomycetes; Kitasatosporales; Streptomycetaceae.
GCAAGUCGAACGAUGAACCACUUCGGUGGGGAUUAGUGGCGAACGGGUGAGUAACACGUGGGCAAUCUGCCCUGCACUCUGGGACAAGCCCUGGAAACGGGGUCUAAUACCGGAUACUGACCCUCGCAGGCAUCUGCGAGGUUCGAAAGCUCCGGCGGUGCAGGAUGAGCCCGCGGCCUAUCAGCUUGUUGGUGAGGUAAUGGCUCACCAAGGCGACGACGGGUAGCCGGCCUGAGAGGGCGACCGGCCACACUGGGACUGAGACACGGCCCAGACUCCUACGGGAGGCAGCAGUGGGGAAUAUUGCACAAUGGGCGAAAGCCUGAUGCAGCGACGCCGCGUGAGGGAUGACGGCCUUCGGGUUGUAAACCUCUUUCAGCAGGGAAGAAGCGAAAGUGACGGUACCUGCAGAAGAAGCGCCGGCUAACUACGUGCCAGCAGCCCG